UCAGCUCGUGUCGUGAGAUGUUGGGUUAAGUCCCGCAACGAGCGCAACCCCUACUUGUUAGUUGCCAUCAUUCAGUUGGGCACUCUAGCGAGACUGCCGGUAAUAAACCGGAGGAAGGUGGGGAUGACGUCAAAUCAUCAUGCCCCUUAUGACCUGGGCUACACACGUGCUACAAUGGUUGGUACAACGAGUUGCGAGUCGGUGACGGCGAGCUAAUCUCUUAAAGCCAAUCUCAGUUCGGAUUGUAGGCUGCAACUCGCCUACAUGAAGUCGGAAUCGCUAGUAAUCGCGGAUCAGCACGCCGCGGUGAAUACGUUCCCGGGCCUU
Molecule: ribosomal RNA, 327 nt
Filed under: uncultured Streptococcus sp.
Lineage: Bacteria; Bacillati; Bacillota; Bacilli; Lactobacillales; Streptococcaceae
Description: bacterial SSU rRNA
Rfam family: Bacterial small subunit ribosomal RNA
Source: RNAcentral